RNAcentral lists this ribosomal RNA (719 nucleotides) under uncultured bacterium. Its description in RNAcentral is "bacterial SSU rRNA". It matches the Rfam family "Bacterial small subunit ribosomal RNA", at positions 104 to 810 of the family's 1533-position model. The record is from RNAcentral.
GGGUGAGUAACACGUGGGUAACCUGCCCAAGAGACUGGGAUAACACCUGGAAACAGAUGCUAAUACCGGAUAACAACACUAGACGCAUGUCUAGAGUUUGAAAGAUGGUUCUGCUAUCACUCUUGGAUGGACCUGCGGUGCAUUAGCUAGUUGGUAAGGUAACGGCUUACCAAGGCAAUGAUGCAUAGCCGAGUUGAGAGACUGAUCGGCCACAUUGGGACUGAGACACGGCCCAAACUCCUACGGGAGGCAGCAGUAGGGAAUCUUCCACAAUGGACGAAAGUCUGAUGGAGCAACGCCGCGUGAGUGAAGAAGGGUUUCGGCUCGUAAAGCUCUGUUGGUAGUGAAGAAAGAUAGAGGUAGUAACUGGCCUUUAUUUGACGGUAAUUACUUAGAAAGUCACGGCUAACUACGUGCCAGCAGCCGCGGUAAUACGUAGGUGGCAAGCGUUGUCCGGAUUUAUUGGGCGUAAAGCGAGUGCAGGCGGUUCAAUAAGUCUGAUGUGAAAGCCUUCGGCUCAACCAGAGAAUUGCAUCAGAAACUGUUGAACUUGAGUGCAGAAGAGGAGAGUGGAACUCCAUGUGUAGCGGUGGAAUGCGUAGAUAUAUGGAAGAACACCAGUGGCGAAGGCGGCUCUCUGGUCUGCAACUGACGCUGAGGCUCGAAAGCAUGGGUAGCGAACAGGAUUAGAUACCCUGGUAGUCCAUGCCGUAAACGAU